AGUGAACGCUGGCGGUAGGCCUAACACAUGCAAGUCGAACGGCAGCACAGUAAGAGCUUGCUCUUACGGGUGGCGAGUGGCGGACGGGUGAGGAAUACAUCGGAAUCUACUUUUUCGGGGGGGAUAACGUAGGGAAACUUACGCUAAUACCGCAUACGACCUACGGGUGAAAGCAGGGGAUCUUCGGACCUUGCGCGAUUGAAUGAGCCGAUGUCGGAUUAGCUAGUUGGCGGGGUAAAGGCCCACCAAGGCGACGAUCCGUAGCUGGUCUGAGAGGAUGAUCAGCCACACUGGAACUGAGACACGGUCCAGACUCCUACGGGAGGCAGCAGUGGGGAAUAUUGGACAAUGGGCGCAAGCCUGAUCCAGCCAUACCGCGUGGGUGAAGAAGGCCUUCGGGUUGUAAAGCCCUUUUGUUAGGAAAGAAAAGCAGCAGGUUAAUACCCCGCUGUUCUGACGGUACCCAAAGAAUAAGCACCGGCUAACUUCGUG
Molecule: ribosomal RNA, 492 nt
Filed under: uncultured bacterium
Lineage: Bacteria
Description: partial 16S ribosomal RNA
Rfam family: Bacterial small subunit ribosomal RNA
Source: RNAcentral